RNA transcript from Manihot esculenta (cassava), 1371 nucleotides. RefSeq lists it as uncharacterized. The record is from RefSeq and is a predicted model, not a curated record. NCBI's taxonomy places the organism in Eukaryota, Viridiplantae, Streptophyta, Magnoliopsida, Malpighiales, Euphorbiaceae. The transcript has 3 exons.
GAGACAUUCUCAAUUAUAAGAUUGGACGCGUACAGAGACACCCCCACUUGAAAAAAAGCUCCAUAUCAACUCUGCCCCUCACCGCACCACAAAAUACAAACACACACAGAGCAACUGAGAGAGACUUCAAUCUUCAAUGUUGUGUUACAUGAAAUGGCAAUUUCAGGUGCAGAAACUCAAUCAAAUCCUGCUGCCAAGCCUGGCCCUCAGGUGGAAGUAGAAUCAGUUAAAUGCUACUCUUGUGGAUUCACAGAGGACUGCACUCCUGCUUAUAUUUCUCGCGUCCGUGAGCGAUACCAUGGGCGGUGGAUUUGUGGGCUUUGUGUUGAAGCAGUGAAAGAUGAGGUUCUGAGAUCAGAUAGGCUCAUUUCUACCGAAGAAGCUCUAAAUAGGCACAUCAGUUUUUGUAACGAGUUCAGAUCAUCUAGUCCCCCUAACCAAACGGAGCAUCCUAUUUCUGUAAUGGGCAGGAUUCUUCGCCGGAGUUUGGACUGCCCACGAGCUAUUCGAUCUAAUUCCAGUGAGGUUUUGCCUGAUGUUGAUGUUGAAAAGAUUAAAGGGUCGGCGUUAGUUCGUUCUGGGAGUUGUUUCUCUGCUUUGUCUCGUUGAAUUCUCGUUUCUAGUUCGUAAAGUGUCUGUAGAAAAUGAAAAAAUAGAAGGAAUCUUACAGCUAAUAUUCAUCAUGAAAAUGAAAGUGGUAUUAAUCGAGACUAGCUAGUUUCGAUUCUAUUUUCUUCAAGUAUGCCUGUUCUGCAGAAUGACUUAAUUGUAAGGUAUCCAAAAGAAGGAAAACAUUGGCAAUAACAACAAAAGAAAAAAUGAAGUUGCUUGGAAAAUUCCCCAGAAAGAAAGAAGACAACGGUUGAAGAAGGUAGUCAGGUCCAGGAACUUGUCAGUUUUCUGCUCUACCCUCUAGUGUGACUUUGGCCUUAGCCAAAGGGAAACAAAUGGUCGGUGCUAUGAACCUUCUGGCCACACGAAUCUGGAUUCAUCUAGACAAAUCUUCGGCUAUAUGUGAAUUCUUCGAAAAAAUCAAGAAAGGACAGAAUAUGUGUGGGACAGGGUUGUGGACACCCCUUCUUUUUUGGGGUCUGUUUUUUUGGUCCAAGGUUUUGUCAGGGUCAUCAUCUGUUUUCAACUAGAGAAUGAGUAGGAGAAAGAGAGAGAGAACAUGAGAGAACGUGACAGAGUGAACGGUGCCUUAGUAUAAGACAUUGCUCUACCGUAAAUCGUGAUUCUAUGACUAUUUCAAAACGGUAAAUAUUAUGGCUGAGGUUUUCCACUUAUAUUGUCGGAGAUGUAUGUGCUACUAGUGUUCUUUCUUAGUUUGUUGUGCCUCUUUUAGAAUGUAUGUGGUUGAUUUUCUUCCUA